GUAUAAGAGACAGCAGCAGCCGCGGGAAAACGUAGGGUGCGAGCGUUAAUCGGAAUUACUGGGCGUAAAGCGUGCGCAGGCGGUUAUAUAAGACAGAUGUGAAAUCCCCGGGCUCAACCUGGGACCUGCAUUUGUGACUGUAUAGCUAGAGUACGGUAGAGGGGGAUGGAAUUCCGCGUGUAGCAGUGAAAUGCGUAGAUAUGCGGAGGAACACCGAUGGCGAAGGCAAUCCCCUGGACCUGUACUGACGCUCAUGCACGAAAGCGUGGGGAGCAAACAGGAUUAGAGACCCCCGUAGUCCCUGUCUCUUAUAC
This 314-nucleotide ribosomal RNA is filed under the name uncultured bacterium. Its description in RNAcentral is "partial 16S ribosomal RNA". It matches the Rfam family "Bacterial small subunit ribosomal RNA", at positions 499 to 807 of the family's 1533-position model. The record is from RNAcentral.